Molecule: ribosomal RNA, 703 nt
Filed under: uncultured Bacillota bacterium
Lineage: Bacteria; Bacillati; Bacillota
Description: bacterial SSU rRNA
Rfam family: Bacterial small subunit ribosomal RNA
Source: RNAcentral
ACGUGGGCAACCUGCCCGAAAGAGGGGGAUAACACUUGGAAACAGGUGCUAAUACCGCAUAACCAUGAACACCGCAUGGUGUUUAUGUGAAAGGUGGUUUCGGCUACCGCUUUCGGAUGGGCCCGCGGCGCAUUAGCUAGUUGGUGGGGUAAAGGCUUACCAAGGCAAUGAUGCGUAGCCGAACUGAGAGGUUGAUCGGCCACAUUGGGACUGAGACACGGCCCAAACUCCUACGGGAGGCAGCAGUAGGGAAUCUUCCACAAUGGGCGAAAGCCUGAUGGAGCAACGCCGCGUGGGUGAAGAAGGUCUUCGGAUCGUAAAACCCUGUUGUCAGAGAAGAAAGUGCAUGAGAGUAACUGUUCAUGUUUCGACGGUAUCUGACCAGAAAGCCACGGCUAACUACGUGCCAGCAGCCGCGGUAAUACGUAGGUGGCAAGCGUUAUCCGGAUUUAUUGGGCGUAAAGGGAACGCAGGCGGUCUUUUAAGUCUGAUGUGAAAGCCUUCGGCUUAACCGGAGUAGUGCAUUGGGAACUGGGAGACUUGAGUGCAGAAGAGGAGAGUGGAACUCCAUGUGCAGCGGUGAAAUGCGUAGAUAUAUGGAAGAACACCAGUGGCGAAAGCGGCUCUCUGGUCUGUAACUGACGCUGAGGUUAGAAAGCGUGGGUAGCAAACAGGAUUAGAUACCCUGGUAGUCCACGCCGUA